This 501-nucleotide ribosomal RNA is filed under the name uncultured bacterium. Its description in RNAcentral is "bacterial SSU rRNA". It matches the Rfam family "Bacterial small subunit ribosomal RNA", at positions 8 to 518 of the family's 1533-position model. The record is from RNAcentral.
AGAGUUUGAUUAUGGCUCAGGAUGAACGCUGGCGGCGUGCUUAACACAUGCAAGUCGAACGGAGCCUAGCGAGUGCUUGCACUUGCGAAAGCUUAGUGGCGGACGGGUGAGUAACGCGUGGGUAACCUGCCCUAUACUGGGGGAUAACAGUCGGAAACGACUGCUAAUACCGCAUAAGCCUACGGAACCGCAUGAUUCAGUAGGAAAAACUCCGGUGGUAUAGGAUGGACCCGCGUCUGAUUAGCUAGUUGGUGAGGUAACGGCCCACCAAGGCGACGAUCAGUAGCCGGCCUGAGAGGGUGAACGGCCACAUUGGGACUGAGACACGGCCCAAACUCCUACGGGAGGCAGCAGUGGGGAAUAUUGCACAAUGGGGGAAACCCUGAUGCAGCCGACGCCGCGUGAGUGAUGAAGUAUUUCGGUAUGUAAAGCUCUAUCAGCAGGGAAGAAAAUGACGGUACCUGACUAAGAAGCACCGGCUAAAUACGUGCCAGCCGCGGC